UCCGGAUGUCCUGCUCCACCAAAUGAACAGAACUGUAGCAUUGGGAUAUGUCCAGGAGAGCCGCCGCGUACCCAGCUGCCGGGUUUCUGUGGAGGUUCGGAGACGGCGGAGAGGAGAGGCGGAUGGGGUUGGAGAACGAAGGGGUGGAAGAUAAAGGGGGAGGCUUUUGAAGAAAAGAUGGGGUCUUGGUGGAGAUGAAGCUGCUGGGUUUGGUGGUGGUGGAGUGGAGGCUGUGGAGGAGGUUGGGCGGCUGUGGUUGCGGAGGGAGUUUGUGAGUUUUUCUGGGACUUUGAG
RNAcentral lists this long non-coding RNA (294 nucleotides) under Malus domestica (apple). RNAcentral describes it as "long non-coding RNA (MDOM_LNC000880)". The record is from RNAcentral. Lineage: Eukaryota; Viridiplantae; Streptophyta; Magnoliopsida; Rosales; Rosaceae.